ACAAUAUUGUUAUAAAUAUAUAAAUAUAAAACAAAAAUAUCAAACCACAUAAAAAUAUGUUACAACUGGUCAUAGAAAGACUAAUCAACCUGGCAAGAUCAUUUAGCAUAUGUGUAACUAUCAGAGCAGAAAUUCAGUAAACAUUUCAGGCAUAUCUAGCAGUUAGAUAAAUUUCUGUCUCAAUUUUAAAACUGCUUGUAAACCCGUGUCCUUUCUGUACUAUCAGACAUUGCUUAGCUCACAAAUAAGACUCCAUAAUCCUUAUUUUCUCUUGGACACUCUGCUUGUUCUCUACUUUGGCUCCAUAAACUUUGGACACAGCUGUUGAUAGAUAGUUAACAGACUCUUUCUUCAGGCUGUAUCCACUCACAGAAAUACUACGACAAAGACAUUCCUACAGGUCAAAAUCAUGCAUCAGUUACAGCACACAUAUCUGAUUCUGCAGUGGCAGUAUUUUCAUUCCCAGGAGCUGAUGAAGGUCCCUUUUGAACUGAUGAAGAGCUUCAAAGAUAAUGACAAGGAGAUCUGGACAGUAGUCACAAAAAUGUUAGUGUUGAGUAACAGUAUAAUACCCUCUUAGGUAUAAGGUACCCUCUUGAUGUGGAAAAGCACAAACUUGGUAAAUUUGUUAUGUUCCUAUGUACUAAUUAGAGAAUAGUGUUUCAAGAAAUCUGCUAUUAUACUAAAAAAAUAACUGAAAUACUGUAUAAUUGAUUUUCAAUUGCAUACAUCUUUUACUAAUGAGGUUAUCAAUCUAGUUUCAAGAAAAUUACCAGAAGGCAGCAAACACACUAGCUGCUUAUUGAAAACUAUUCCCACUAAAAAGUGAAAAUCAUGCAAUCUUUUCUGAAGAGGAAAUGUGUAUUAUACAUUAUUAGAAAGCAUAUAACUCUUGAACUCAGAGAUUUCAGGUCACUGUAGAAUUCUAAGAUGGUACCAUUCAGGACUGUUUAGUGAAAUGGUAGUAUGCAAGUGACAGCAAAGUGUCCUUCACACAGGAUACUCUGUCCAGAAAUCACCUAAGAAGUAGCAUUAAGAAAUUACUGAAUUACAUCUGUGCUUUGCCUUCCUUUAGGCACAAUGACUACCUCACUUUAGUAUCCCCAGAAUGGAAAAAGCGCCUCAGCAAUUUCAAGCAGCAAUGGCCAUCAUGUUCCAGGCAUACUGAACUCCUAAGAACCAGAGAGCCAGUGAGGACAAUUUGUAUAAAUAUGCACAAACAAUGCCAAGAUACUCAUGCUUAUCUGAAUGCAUCAGUUAUUCUAUCAUCAAGCCAUAACAAACAUCCUCAAGUCAUACUUCGGGAUAAACAGAGCCUGCCCUAUGCCAAAAUUUUUAAAUUAUUCUGAGGUCAGUUUGGUACACAGGGAAUAAAGAAAACGAAAGAAGAAUUUUCCCUCUCAAAGCAGCACACCUUUAGCUCAAAAAAAAAACAAACUAUGCAGAUAUUUGACAUAAAAAUGCUUUAUCCCACAAUAUUUCAGAUUCUCUUUUAAUGUUAUCUACCUUUUAUGUCCAUGAUCAGUUUGGUUCAGGCUGGCAAAACUGUUUGCUGACUAUGGAAGCCUAUCACUGGGCAAAGUCUAUGUCUAAGAUAUAAAAAGAGAAAAAAAAUCAAAAAUUUUUGUGAUCCAUUUAUAAAAAAUACUACAUUUAAUUGUAUCAGAUUUUUAAACUUGAAUUUUAAAUUAUUAGGCUUACUGUUUUUCAAUGUUGUAUACCAAUUAUCUACAACAUUAGUAGAAAGCCAUGGAAGAUAAUUCUCUUUUGCUUUUAGAAACGAUGAAGCAUUUUUAACAACUGGAAACAUUCUUUUUAAAAAAAAACAACAGAACCAAAACAACAAACAAAAAAUUUGGGAGAUUUACUGUAUUCACAACAACCAUUUAGAUCCUGAAAUGUUAUCAUUUUCUCAUGGACAUAAGUAGCUUAUCGGGAAAUCCCUAACCAGUUGUACAGCUAACAUCUGCUUCUCUCCAGAUAAAUACCCAGGAGGUUAUCUGAAACUAUGCUGUCACUAUUUCAGAUAUCAGCUCCAUUUUACUUACCAGUUCAGCCCUAACACAAAACCAAUUCCAGAUUCAGUGACAUUUGCAUUUCCAACUCUAGUAUGCUUUUACUUUCCAUCACAGUCUACACAGUACUUCCCAAACUUCAUUCCAUUGUAUUUACCAGUUAGAUUUUCUGUCUUUUCCUUGGUUAAUUAGUUUUCAAUACUUUGCUUUUGUUUAAGGAGAGAAAUUACAGGAGCAUGCAGUCCACUUUAAACAUCAUUUCAGCAUUUGAAAAUAGCAAAAGGAAAAAAUGUUUUCAUUUUUGUAAACCUGUCUUUGAUAAUGCACAUUUUGCUGCUUAGUAAGAAUGCAAAUAACACAGUUUGUAUUCAACUGUAGAAUACAGUUAGAUAUGUUCACUAAUUCUUAACAUAAACAGAUCUGGCUGCAUAUUCAAUGUUAAAAUCUAAGUCUAUAUAAAGAAUAUGUAACUUACCUCUAGACAUGAGAGUUACUCCUUGUAAAAUUUGAGGUUUCUGCUCUAGCAUAGAGGUGUAUGAGUAGAUUGGGAAUGCGUAAGAUGAAGGAAAGUGAAAAAUUUUAGGGCUAGGAUGCAAAAAUGGGUAUUGGCCUGAUUUAGCAACAAAGUGUCUGCCUACUUUAACAUUUGAUCUGUUGUUGCAUGCUGAAGAGAUAAAUUUUCAAGGAUGAAAAAUUGUUAUUUUCAGUAGUGGCAUGAAAAGUAAACUCUCCACAGGCUUCUGCUCUGCAUUGAACUGCAUAUGGAGUCCAGCAGAAGUGCACACGUGAAAGUGACCUAAGACACAAAGGAUUUAUGCCAAAUCAGUUUCUUCCUAGACAAAUGAUGAUUUCCUUCUGAGACAAGAUACAUUUCUCACCAGGGAGAAAGAAAAUUUACUAUCUUUACAUCCUUGAAUUCAUGUUGUCUGUCUUUUCUGGAUUCCAUUAGGAACAUAACAAACAGCUAAAGGCAAUUAUCUUCCACUCUGACCUUGGGAAACCAAAGAAGUUACCACAGUACAGAGCCCAAAAAGCUUGUGAGUAAACACUCAGUCUAAACUUUAAAACAUCAGAAAAGGUUACCUGUCACUUUCAUGGCCUAUUUAGUCUAAUGACUACUUGUUUUCACAGUGAAAAUUUGAACUUUAUUUUCAGUCACGCUUUCUAUCCAGUUUCCAGUGACUACUUCUUUUUACUUUGUUUGCUUUUUUCUAUUCUUUUCUCCUUGCCAA
Taeniopygia guttata (zebra finch) is the source of this 3247-nucleotide long non-coding RNA. Lineage: Eukaryota; Metazoa; Chordata; Aves; Passeriformes; Estrildidae. The record is from Ensembl.